UACGUAGGGUGCAAGCGUUGUCCGGAAUUAUUGGGCGUAAAGAGCUCGUAGGCGGUUUGUCGCGUCUGCUGUGAAAUCUGGAGGCUCAACCUCCAGCCUGCAGUGGGUACGGGCAGACUAGAGUGCGGUAGGGGAGAUUGGAACUCCUGGUGUAGCGGUGGAAUGCGCAGAUAUCAGGAAGAACACCGAUGGCGAAGGCAGAUCUCUGGGCCGUAACUGACGCCGAGGAGCGAAAGCAUGGGGAGCGAACAGG
This 253-nucleotide ribosomal RNA is filed under the name uncultured bacterium. Its description in RNAcentral is "partial 16S ribosomal RNA". It matches the Rfam family "Bacterial small subunit ribosomal RNA", at positions 524 to 776 of the family's 1533-position model. The record is from RNAcentral.